Molecule: ribosomal RNA, 465 nt
Filed under: Vreelandella stevensii
Lineage: Bacteria; Pseudomonadati; Pseudomonadota; Gammaproteobacteria; Oceanospirillales; Halomonadaceae
Description: partial 16S ribosomal RNA
Rfam family: Bacterial small subunit ribosomal RNA
Source: RNAcentral
CCUACGUGUGGCUGCAGUGGGGAAUAUUGGACAAUGGGCGAAAGCCUGAUCCAGCCAUGCCGCGUGUGUGAAGAAGGCCUUCGGGUUGUAAAGCACUUUCAGUGGGGAAGAAAGCCUUGGGGCUAAUACCCUCGAGGAAGGACAUCACCCACAGAAGAAGCACCGGCUAACUCCGUGCCAGCAGCCGCGGUAAUACGGAGGGUGCGAGCGUUAAUCGGAAUUACUGGGCGUAAAGCGCGCGUAGGCGGUCUGAUAAGCCGGUUGUGAAAGCCCCGGGCUCAACCUGGGAACGGCAUCCGGAACCGUCAGGCUAGAGGGCAGGAGAGGAAGGUAGAAUUCCCGGUGUAGCGGUGAAAUGCGUAGAGAUCGGGAGGAAUACCAGUGGCGAAGGCGGCCUUCUGGACUGACACUGACGCUGAGGUGCGAAAGCGUGGGUAGCAAACAGGAUUAGAUACCCCAGUAGUC